GACGAACGCUGGCGGCGUGCCUAAUACAUGCAAGUAGAACGCACAGUUUAUACCGUAGCUUGCUACACCAUAGACUGUGAGUUGCGAACGGGUGAGUAACGCGUAGGUAACCUGCCUGGUAGCGGGGGAUAACUAUUGGAAACGAUAGCUAAUACCGCAUAAUAUUAAUUAUUGCAUGAUAAUUAAUUGAAAGGUGCAAUUGCACCACUACCAGAUGGACCUGCGUUGUAUUAGCUAGUAGGUGAGGUAACGGCUCACCUAGGCGACGAUACAUAGCCGACCUGAGAGGGUGAUCGGCCACACUGGGACUGAGACACGGCCCAGACUCCUACGGGAGGAAGCAGUAGGGAAUCUUCGGCAAGGGACGAAAGUCUGACCGAGCAACGCCGCGUGAGUGAAGAAGGGUUUCGGAUCGUAAAGCUCUGUUGUAAGAGAAGAACGGGUGUGAGAGUGGAAAGUUCACACUGUGACGGUAUCUUACCAGAAAGGGACGGCUAACUACGUG
This 505-nucleotide ribosomal RNA is filed under the name uncultured bacterium. RNAcentral's name for it is "partial 16S ribosomal RNA". It matches the Rfam family "Bacterial small subunit ribosomal RNA", at positions 28 to 507 of the family's 1533-position model. The record is from RNAcentral.